Non-coding RNA from Triticum aestivum (bread wheat), 94 nucleotides. Lineage: Eukaryota; Viridiplantae; Streptophyta; Magnoliopsida; Poales; Poaceae. The record is from Rfam.
AUAUUACUCCCUCCGUUCCAAAAUAGAUGACCCAAAUUUAUACUAAAGUUAGUACAAAUUUGGGUCAUCUAUUUUGGAACGGAGGGAGUAGAUC